GAUCUAAGUGGCAACAUAUCGAUGUAUCGAACAAAUGCAAUCUAAAAAUAAAGAGAAAGUGUCAUUGUAAAUGUGCUAAGGCCGGGUGAAGCACAAAAAAUACCUUGGUGAUAAAUGAUAACACCAAUCGUAAGAGACCCUGCCAGUAAAACAGCAAGCAGUUAAACGUUUACACAUUACACAUAACUAGCUAACCAUUACAACGGAACUAGGAAUCAAAUGCAUUAUUUAAGUUGCAUAAGCAACUGUGCAUAAGUACCAUCAGGAUAAGCUUGCCUUGCCAGCUGGAGUGCAUCAGAAUUAGCUAAAUCUGCCCGAGCGCGUGGAGGUACGGUGCCACUAAGGAAUCCGCGGCGACUUGCAACUGCAGCCGCCGCCACGGGCGAGCUCGGAUGGCGCGCGGCGCGGUCACCUCAGACCCGGCCGUCGCCGUCCCGGAGGACGAGGACGCCUUGCCGUGACUGUCGGCCUCGCACAGGCUUGGCCGCGGGCACGCACGGCCGCCUCCCCGUCGCGGGGGCGCGCGAGCUGCUGUUGCGCGAGUGGGCCGCAUCGCGGGUAGGCGCGCUCCCCGCGCCCCGCUGGCCGCUGCUGCUGCGCGCCUCCUGCAAGCUCGGUCCCGGCCGCGGGCUGCUGCCCGCACGCACCGGCUCCCGCGGGUCCCCGUCGUCUCUGGGAAGGGAAGUGACCGGUGGAUCUGGGAGAAGCAGCGGUGGAUCUGGGGAGCAGAGAGAUAUGAACGAGUAGGGGGGAAGUUAGGGGAGCGCGUGCAGAUCUGAGGGGAGGAGGGAGUGGAGUGAGAGGGGAAGGGUUAGCCGGCUAGGGAUUCGUCCGGAGGGGAGGCGUUCAUAUUUAUCGAUAAUGGAG
Molecule: long non-coding RNA, 867 nt
Filed under: Panicum hallii
Lineage: Eukaryota; Viridiplantae; Streptophyta; Magnoliopsida; Poales; Poaceae
Description: long non-coding RNA (PHAL_LNC000421)
Source: RNAcentral